Molecule: ribosomal RNA, 470 nt
Filed under: uncultured Pseudomonadota bacterium
Lineage: Bacteria; Pseudomonadati; Pseudomonadota
Description: bacterial SSU rRNA
Rfam family: Bacterial small subunit ribosomal RNA
Source: RNAcentral
AGAGUUUGAUCAUGGCUCAGAGCGAACGCUGGCGGCAGGCCUAACACAUGCAAGUCGAGCGGCCGUAGCAAUACGGCAGCGGCAGACGGGAGAGUAACACGUGGGAACGCGCCCUUCGGUUCGGGAUAACCCAGGGAAACUUGGGCUAAUACCGGAUACGCCCUUACGGGGAAAGAUUUAUUGCCGAAGGAACGGCCCGCGUCCGAUUAGCUAGUUGGUGAGGUAACGGCUCACCAAGGCGACGAUCGGUAGCUGGUCUGAGAGGAUGACCAGCCUCACUGGGACUGAGACACGGCCCAGACUCCUACGGGAGGCAGCAGUGGGGAAUAUUGGACAAUGGGCGCAAGCCUGAUCCAGCCAUGCCGCGUGGGUGAUGAAGGCCCUAGGGUUGUAAAGCCCUUUCAGCGGGGAAGAUAAUGACGGUACCCGCAGAAGAAGCCCCGGCUAACUUCGUGCCAGCAGCCGCGGUA